RNAcentral lists this long non-coding RNA (745 nucleotides) under Equus caballus (horse). RNAcentral describes it as "lncRNA (ENSECAG00000049269.1)". Lineage: Eukaryota; Metazoa; Chordata; Mammalia; Perissodactyla; Equidae. The record is from RNAcentral.
AAAAAACGAACUGAAAAAUAAUUGUAUUUUUAAGAAAUGCAGUUUUUAAAAUAUUCCUUGCACCGCCUGUCCAGUGCUUUUAACAAUCACACUGGGAGAGAACUCCUCCACUAUUAAAUGCAAACUCUCUUUUUGCCACUUGCAUUUAUAAAGGUUUUAAUGGUCAUUGUUGAUGCGGGAUCGGUGAGCCGAGGAGUCGAAAGAAAGAUUUCUUAGACUCUCAAGAUCUGGCAGUAGUGCUCUUUUAUUUAGAAAAUAGUGUGGAAUAGCAUGGGGACAGGACCCAUGGGCAGUCAGAGCUUCUGCUGCCGCCGCUUCUGCUGCCCCCGCUGGCAUGGGGACAGAGCCCAUGGGCAGGCAGAGCCGCUGCUGCUGCCCCCGCUGGCAUGGGGACAGGACCCAUGGGCAGCAGCAGGAGCUCUGACUGCCCGUGGGUCCUGUCCCCAUGCACCAGCUCUGCCUGCCCAUGGGCCCUGUCCCCAUGCCAGUGGGGGCAGCAGAAGCAGCGGCAGCAGCAGCAGCAGCAGGAGCUCUGACUGCCUGUGGGUCCUGUCCCCACGCACCAGCUCUGCCUGCCCAUGGGUCCUGUCCCCAUGCCAGCGGGGGCAGCACCAGCGGCUUUGCCUGCCCAUGGGCUCUGUCCCCAUGCCAGCGGGAGCAGCAGAAGCAGCGGCAGCAGAAGCUCUGACUGCCCAUGGGUCCUGUCCCCAUGCUAUUCUAUACUAUUCUCUAAAUAAAAGAGCAC